This 1405-nucleotide ribosomal RNA is filed under the name uncultured bacterium. Its description in RNAcentral is "16S ribosomal RNA". It matches the Rfam family "Bacterial small subunit ribosomal RNA". The record is from RNAcentral.
UUCCCCCUUAGAGUUUGAUCCUGGCUCAGGAUGAACUGCUGGCGGCGUGCCUAACACAUGCAAGUCGAACGAAGCAUUUCUGACGGAGACUUCGGUUGAAGAUGGGAAUGACUUAGUGGCGGACGGGUGAGUAAUGCGUGAGCAACCUGCCUUAAAGAGGGGGACAACAGCUGGAAACGGCUGCUAAUACCGCAUAACAUAUUUGGGAGGCAUCUCCCGGGUAUCAAAGGAGCAAUCCGCUUUAAGAUGGGCUCACGUCUGAUUAGUUAGUUGGCAGGGUAACGGCCUACCAAGACUGCGAUCAGUAGCCGGACUGAGAGGUUGAACGGCCACAUUGGGACUGAGAUACGGCCCAGACUCCUACGGGAGGCAGCAGUGGGGAAUAUUGGGCAAUGGGCGAAAGCCUGACCCAGCAACGCCGCGUGAAGGAAGAAGAUUUUCGGAUUGUAAACUUCUUUUAUGAGGGACGAAGGAAGUGACGGUACCUCAUGAAUAAGCCCCGGCUAACUACGUGCCAGCAGCCGCGGUAAUACGUUGGGGGCGAGCGUUAUCCGGAUUUACUGGGUGUAAAGGGCGCGUAGGCGGGAAGGCAAGUCAGAUGUGAAAUCCAUGGGCUCAACUCAUGAACUGCAUUUGAAACUGUCUUUCUUGAGUGUCGGAGAGGUAGACGGAAUUCCUUGUGUAGCGGUGAAAUGCGUAGAUAUAAGGAAGAACACCAGUGGCGAAGGCGGUCUACUGGACGAUAACUGACGCUGAGGCGCGAAAGCGUGGGGAGCAAACAGGAUUAGAUACCCUGGUAGUCCACGCUGUAAACGAUGAAUACUAGGUGUGGGAGGACUGACCCCUUCCGUGCCGCAGUUAACACAAUAAGUAUUCCACCUGGGGAGUACGGCCGCAAGGUUGAAACUCAAAGGAAUUGACGGGGGCCCGCACAAGCAGUGGAUUAUGUGGUUUAAUUCGACGCAACGCGAAGAACCUUACCUGCUCUUGACAUCCCCCUGACCGGCCGGCAAUGCGGCCUUCUCUUCGGAGCAGGGGAGACAGGUGGUGCAUGGUUGUCGUCAGCUCGUGUCGUGAGAUGUUGGGUUAAGUCCCGCAACGAGCGCAACCCUUGUCCUUAGUAGCCAGCAUUUCGGAUGGGCACUCUAGGGAGACUGCCCGGGACAACCGGGAGGAAGGUGGGGAUGACGUCAAAUCAUCAUGCCCCUUACGAGCAGGGCUACACACGUGCUACAAUGGCGUAAACAAAGGGAAGCGAAAGAGCGAUCUGAAGCAAAUCCCAAAAAUAACGUCUCAGUUCGGAUUGCAGGCUGCAACUCGCCUGCAUGAAGCUGGAAUCGCUAGUAAUCGCAGAUCAGAAUGCUGCGGUGAAUACGUUCCCGGGUCUUGUACACACCGCCCGUCA